UGUGGUGGCGGCGGCAGUGGCGGCACCGCCUCCUCCUCACACUCCCGGGGUGGCGGGGUUAGAUGAGCGGCCCCAGUAGCGGCGAGGGCGGCGCGGGGGGGAGGAGGAGAAGAAGGAGGAGGAGAAGGAGGUCGCUGUCUUUGUAGUCUCCCUGCUGCGGGAGCCAGAGGCCGCCGCCGGAGCCGUCGUCGUUGGAAAAGGGCUGUGUGUGCGCGCGCGUGUCUGCCCGCCCGGCCCGCGGGGACGAGGCGGCGGCGGCGGCGGCGGCGAGGAAGAUGAUGUGCGCAGCGACUGCCUCCCCCGCCGCCGCCUCCUCGGGGCUCGGCGGGGACGGAUUCUACCCAGCCGCCACCUUCUCUUCCUCCCCUGCGCCGGGGGCGCUGUUCAUGCCGGUUCCCGACGGCUCCGUGGCUGCUGCGGGGCUGGGGCUGGGGCUACCCGCCGCGGACUCCCGGGGUCACUACCAGCUGCUGCUGUCAGGCCGGGCCCUGGCCGACCGCUACCGGAGGAUUUAUACCGCUGCGCUCAAUGACAGGGACCAGGGGGGCGGCAGCGCUGGACACCCAGCCUCCAGGAAUAAGAAAAUUUUAAAUAAGAAGAAAUUGAAAAGAAAACAGAAGAGCAAAUCAAAAGUGAAGACAAGAAG
Molecule: small RNA, 646 nt
Filed under: Pan troglodytes (chimpanzee)
Lineage: Eukaryota; Metazoa; Chordata; Mammalia; Primates; Hominidae
Description: processed transcript
Source: RNAcentral